Molecule: ribosomal RNA, 305 nt
Filed under: uncultured bacterium
Lineage: Bacteria
Description: bacterial SSU rRNA
Rfam family: Bacterial small subunit ribosomal RNA
Source: RNAcentral
GCCUACGGGAGGCAGCAGUAGGGAAUCUUCCACAAUGGGCGAAAGCCUGAUGGAGCAACGCCGCGUGGGUGAAGAAGGUCUUCGGAUCGUAAAACCCUGUUGUUAGAGAAGAAAGUGCGUGAGAGUAACUGUUCACGUUUCGACGGUAUCUAACCAGAAAGCCACGGCUAACUGCGUGCCAGCAGCCGCGGUAAUACGUAGGUGGCAAGCGUUAUCCGGAUUUAUUGGGCGUAAAGGGAACACAGGCGGUCUUUUAAGUCUGAUGUGAAAGCCUUCGGCUUAACCGGAGUAGUGCAUUGGAAACU